CCUACGGGAGGCAGCAGUGAGGAAUAUUGGUCAAUGGGCGCGAGCCUGAACCAGCCAAGUAGCGUGAAGGAUGACUGCCCUAUGGGUUGUAAACUUCUUUUAUAAAGGAAUAAAGUGAGGCACGUGUGGCUUUUUGUAUGUAUCUUAUGAAUAAGGAUCGGCUAACUCCGUGCCAGCAGCCGCGGUAAUACGGAGGAUCCGAGCGUUAUCCGGAUUUAUUGGGUUUAAAGGGAGCGUAGGUGGGUUGUUAAGUCAGUUGUGAAAGUUUGCGGCUCAACCGUAAAAUUGCAAUUGAUACUGGCAGUCUUGAGUACAGUAGAGGUAGGCGGAAUUCGUGGUGUAGCGGUGAAAUGCUUAGAUAUCACGAAGAACUCCGAUUGCGAAGGCAGCCUACUAGACUGCCACUGACAUUGAUGCUCGAAAGUGUGGGUAUCAAACAGGAUUAGAUACCCUGGUAGUC
Molecule: ribosomal RNA, 460 nt
Filed under: uncultured bacterium
Lineage: Bacteria
Description: partial 16S ribosomal RNA
Rfam family: Bacterial small subunit ribosomal RNA
Source: RNAcentral